This 275-nucleotide ribosomal RNA is filed under the name uncultured bacterium. RNAcentral's name for it is "partial 16S ribosomal RNA". It matches the Rfam family "Bacterial small subunit ribosomal RNA", at positions 399 to 691 of the family's 1533-position model. The record is from RNAcentral.
GCGUGGGUGAUGAAGGCCUUCGGGUUGUAAAGCCCUUUCGGCGGGGACGAUGAUGACGGUACCCGCAGAAGAAGCCCCGGCUAACUUCGUGCCAGCAGCCGCGGUAAUACGAAGGGGGCUAGCGUUGUUCGGAAUUACUGGGCGUAAAGGGCGCGUAGGCGGCUCUGUGCGUCGGGCGUGAAAUCCCUGGGCUCAACCCAGGAGUGGCGCUCGAUACGGCGGAGCUCGAGUGUGGGAGAGGAUGGUGGAAUUCCCAGUGUAGAGGUGAAAUUCGU